CCUACGGGAGGCAGCAGUGGGGAAUAUUGGGCAAUGGGCGCAAGCCUGACCCAUCAACGCCGCGGGAAGGAAGAAGGCUUUCGGGUUGUAAACUUCUUUUCUCAGGGACGAAGCAAGUGACGGUACCUGAGGAAUAAGCCACGGCUAACUACGUGCCAGCAGCCGCGGUAAUACGUAGGUGGCAAGCGUUAUACGGAUUUACUGGGUGUAAAGGGCGUGUAGGCGGGAAAGCAAGUCAGAUGUGAAAACCAUGGGCUCAACCUGUUGCCUGCAUUUGAAACUGUUUUUCUUGAGUACUGGAGAGGCAGACGGAAUUCCUAGUGUAGCGGUGAAAUGCGUAGAGAUUAGGAGGAACACCAGUGGCGAAGGCGGUCUGCUGGACAGCAACUGACGCUGAGGCGCGAAAGCGUGGGGAGCAAACAGGAUUAGAUACCCCAGUAGUC
RNAcentral lists this ribosomal RNA (443 nucleotides) under uncultured bacterium. RNAcentral describes it as "partial 16S ribosomal RNA". It matches the Rfam family "Bacterial small subunit ribosomal RNA", at positions 338 to 795 of the family's 1533-position model. The record is from RNAcentral.